Molecule: ribosomal RNA, 253 nt
Filed under: uncultured bacterium
Lineage: Bacteria
Description: partial 16S ribosomal RNA
Rfam family: Bacterial small subunit ribosomal RNA
Source: RNAcentral
GACGAACCGUGCGAACGUUGUUCGGAAUCACUGGGCUUAAAGGGCGCGUAGGCGGCCUAUCAAGUCCGGGGUGAAAGCCCCCAGCUUAACUGGGGAAGUGCCUUGGAUACUGGUGUGCUCGAGGGAGGUAGGGGUCGAGGGAACUUCUGGUGGAGCGGUGAAAUGCGUUGAUAUCAGAAGGAACGCCGGUGGCGAAAGCGCUCGACUGGACCUUUUCUGACGCUGAGGCGCGAAAGCUAGGGGAGCAAACGGG